AUUGAACGCUGGCGGCAUGCUUUACACAUGCAAGUCGAACGGCAGCGCGGGCUUCGGCCUGGCGGCGAGUGGCGAACGGGUGAGUAAUGCAUCGGAACGUGCCCAGUAGUGGGGGAUAGCCCGGCGAAAGCCGGAUUAAUACCGCAUACGACCUGAGGGUGAAAGCGGGGGACCGAAAGGCCUCGCGCUAUUGGAGCGGCCGAUGUCGGAUUAGCUAGUUGGUGGGGUAAAGGCUUACCAAGGCGACGAUCCGUAGCUGGUCUGAGAGGACGACCAGCCACACUGGAACUGAGACACGGCCCAGACUCCUACGGGAGGCAGCAGUGGGGAAUUUUGGACAAUGGGGGCAACCCUGAUCCAGCCAUGCCGCGUGCGGGAAGAAGGCCUUCGGGUUGUAAACCGCUUUUGUUCGGGAAGAAAUCCUCUGAGCUAAUACCCCGGGGGGAUGACGGUACCGAAAGAAUAAGCACCGGCUAACUACGUG
Molecule: ribosomal RNA, 484 nt
Filed under: uncultured bacterium
Lineage: Bacteria
Description: partial 16S ribosomal RNA
Rfam family: Bacterial small subunit ribosomal RNA
Source: RNAcentral